GUGCAUGUGUGCCUCUGUCUCUGCACUUGUCGGAAGAGACAGAGCAUUGCAAGCCGUAUCAAUGCUCCAAAUUCUCGAAAAGUAUUGGAGCGUGAGGAACAGUUACCUGUGGUGUCUGCCCCUGCUGUUGGUGCAGACCUCAGGCACCCACAUGCUUAACACAGGUUUUCCGGGCUGGCUGGAGAGAACCUUUUAUAUCCCCAAUUGGCACAUUUGAGGCUAGCAGCCUUGCAUGCUAUGUAAAUGCACCCCGCAUGCCAUAGG
This is a non-coding RNA of Pelobates cultripes (western spadefoot toad), 264 nucleotides long. Lineage: Eukaryota; Metazoa; Chordata; Amphibia; Anura; Pelobatidae. The record is from the annotation of a GenBank genome assembly.